Molecule: ribosomal RNA, 400 nt
Filed under: uncultured bacterium
Lineage: Bacteria
Description: bacterial SSU rRNA
Rfam family: Bacterial small subunit ribosomal RNA
Source: RNAcentral
UCGGGAAUUUUGCGCAAUGGACGAAAGUCUGACGCAGCAACGCCGCGUGAGGGAUGAAGGCCUUCGGGUUGUAAACCUCUUUUGUCAGGGACGAUGAUGACGGUACCUGACGAAUAAGCCACGGCUAACUACGUGCCAGCAGCCGCGGUAAUACGUAGGUGGCAAGCGUUGUCCGGAUUUACUGGGCGUAAAGAGCGCGCAGGCGGUCGUUCAAGUCGCGUGUGAAAGCCCCCGGCUCAACUGGGGAGGGUCACGCGAUACUGAUCGACUCGAAGGCAGGAGAGGGUAGUGGAAUUCCCGGUGUAGUGGUGAAAUGCGUAGAUAUCGGGAGGAACACCAGUGGCGAAGGCGACUACCUGGCCUGUUUCUUGACGCUGAGGCGCGAAAGCUAGGGGAGCAA